UACGGAGGGAGCUAGCGUUGUUCGGAGUUACUGGGCGUAAAGGGUGCGUAGGCGGUUGUUUAAGUUUGGUGUGAAAUCUCCCGGCUCAACUGGGAGGGUGCGCCGAAUACUGAAUGACUAGAGUGCGGGAGAGGAGAGUGGAAUUCCUGGUGUAGCGGUGAAAUGCGUAGAUAUCAGGAGGAACACCGGUGGUGUAGACGGCUCUCUGGACCGUAACUGACGCUGAGGCACGAAAUCGUGGGUAGCAAACAGG
RNAcentral lists this ribosomal RNA (253 nucleotides) under uncultured bacterium. RNAcentral's name for it is "partial 16S ribosomal RNA". It matches the Rfam family "Bacterial small subunit ribosomal RNA", at positions 524 to 776 of the family's 1533-position model. The record is from RNAcentral.